ACCACCCUGAACGCGCCCG
Molecule: non-coding RNA, 19 nt
Filed under: Mus musculus (house mouse)
Lineage: Eukaryota; Metazoa; Chordata; Mammalia; Rodentia; Muridae
Source: RNAcentral